Long non-coding RNA from Bactrocera dorsalis (oriental fruit fly), 1347 nucleotides. RefSeq lists it as uncharacterized. The record is from RefSeq and is a predicted model, not a curated record. NCBI's taxonomy places the organism in Eukaryota, Metazoa, Arthropoda, Insecta, Diptera, Tephritidae. The transcript has 2 exons.
AAGACAACCCUGUCAACUCACAUAUUCAUGCAACCCUGCAUUUUUCAUUUUUUACUUUGAAUGUACUUUUUUUAACUCACUUGCGUUUUGACUUUGAAUCAAUAAACUUCAUUUCGUACUUUAAUAUCAAAAGCAAUAUUAUAGAACCGUUUUAUUUUAACCGGGAAUACUCCAUAAGGUACGACCUUCCAACAGGAAUGAAUGAAAAUUUUUAUUUAAAUGACAUGUUUUAUAUAUGUUUAUGAGAUAUACAUAUAGUAUAACCAAAAAUAGUCUUUAUAUAGCUCAAAUAAAGGUUUUAUCGUUUUUUUUUUAUAAAAAAAAGGCAAAAGAAAAAAUAUUUAGAAGAAAAUACAGAGCAGAUCUCGCAUUAUCAUAAAUUUAAGUCCGUUUUUAGCGAGCACAGAAAAUAUCAAUCGAAUGCGGCUAAUAUGCUUCAUAACAAAGUUUAAUAAUAACCUCAAAACAUUUAUUUCCAUUAUUCUCCAUCCCUUUAUAAUUAAAAAGCUGUUGCGCCCUUUUAUGCACUUACAUACAAACAUAUGUAUGUUUAUACGGUGUAACGAGGCAGUUUUUGUUGGUUUUGGCAAUAAGCCUAUGACUUAUGUCUCCGAAUUAUGAUUGGAAACUUUCUGAUUUUUUUACAUAUAGGAAUUUUCCACACCAAAUGUGUGUUAGGAAAUACUUAAAUUUGCCACACAAAUAUUUUUUACAAAAACCAGUAUUUAUUUUGAAAUGUUUGUAAGCUCCUGAAGCAGCGAAAAGUCGACGAUAGUCAAUAUAUUUAAUUAAUCAAUUAACACUUUGUUAUUUUUUAAUUAUUUAGAGUGUUAUUCCAUGAAAACAAAUACAUAUAUAAUUUUUGCUGAUCUCUGACCUAUACGCAGUUAUCUCAGGAGCGCUCUUAAACAGAUUUACUGCUUUGACUGUUUGCAUGCUUCAGUUGUAGUGCACAAAUUUCAUAAAAAAUAUUUUUAUAUUUUGCAACUUUUUAAAACAUCUCCAUCAGAGAAUCAGAAAUUUAAUUUAUUUCCGAAGAUAUAGCUGUUAUUAGUGACAAAACUACUAGAUAUUUAAGGCGAGUUUUCUUUUUCUAUAUAUAUAUAUAUUAUAUGUUACAUAUACUACAUAUAUGUACAUACAUAUCGCUGAUUUGCUGCAAGACCGGCAUAAAUCAAGAAACGUGAUUUUUGAGUUAAUGCUGCAGAAUUGUUCGUUAUAUCAUACUUCAUGUUGAGUGAAAAAUUCAUAUGAAUACCUCUUAUAUGCUCCGCUUAAGAAGAGGUGUAAGGUUGGAGUCACCGUGUAAGGUUGUAGUCAGUUGAAAACUUUAAACGCGUUUUCUGG